This is a long non-coding RNA of Pleuronectes platessa (European plaice), 2626 nucleotides long. RefSeq lists it as uncharacterized. The record is from RefSeq and is a predicted model, not a curated record. The transcript has 4 exons. Lineage: Eukaryota; Metazoa; Chordata; Actinopteri; Pleuronectiformes; Pleuronectidae.
CCGAAAUCGGUGGGAGGCCCUAUUGAAAUUGAAAUGAUUAUUAUUAUUAUUAUUAUUAUUAUUUUUCUUAGCUUAAAUGAAUUGGCUUUUUGAGGGCUUUAAUGUGCUCAAAAAGUUGUAGGAGUUUGCAGUAAAUUCGAAGGCGGCGAAAAUUUACGUAUUCUGGAGUAUUUUGAAAAGGGCGUGGCAAAAUGGCUCAAGAGCGCCACCUACGGAAAAGCCCCUCAUUUAGCAUUCACCGAUCCUCAAAAAAAACAAAGACUAUUGUGUAUCAUGACUAGAUGCACAAAAAAGUCCAUCAGUGCAUUAUGAAUAACGCAACAGGAAGCCCGCCAGUUUGACUUUAGUGGCCAUUUUGGUCAUAUUCGAAAUUUUUUGUUUUAAGUACUCCUCCUACAGCUUUCAUCAAAUCAACUUACAAUUUAGACGAUCGUCAUCACAACAAAAUGGAGAUCUAAAGUUAUUGAAGGAUUAAGUUUUAGCAAAACCGUCUGACCGUGGUGUGACCUCAAAAUUUGAUUAAACGCCAUCAAAACACGGGCUCCUGUAUCUUGGACAUAUUUUGUCCAAUCGAGUCCAAACUAUACACAUAAGACAAGAGUCGCGACCUGAAGACAUCGGUACAGAAAUCGUGACUUAAAAUCACAGCGUCCCCUGGUGGCAACAGCAAAUGUCUUGUUUUUCUAUGUGUUACAGUUUGAUUCACUACUCGUAGGGCCUUCAUUAAAUCAACGUAAAAAUUUGAUGCAUGUGUUCAAAACAAGAUCUAAAGUUAACGAAAUUGCAACUUUUCAUAAUACUGUGUGACCGUGGUGUGGCUUCCAGUUUGAGGUAUGAAAACAUCUAUAUCUGGCAGAUGUGCUGCAAUAUUUAGUCACUAGAUGGCAGUGUCAGACCAUAGUUUGUGUUAUCUAUGCAUUAACAGACUGUGUUUACAGGGUGGCCAACUUUAGAGGAGAAUUAAACCUUUUACAGCAUUGCUCAAACUUUGGUUUUAGUCUCAAUCGCUAAGUUCUUCCUUCAUGACAACUCUGAGGGGGGUAAAUUUGUUUUUAACUUCCUUGUUUAAGCGAUAUAGAUGUUUGAAAUUCACGUGACGCCACAGUGUAAGCUGUGCUGUGUGUUGUGAGUUCGGCUUUAACCAGGUACAAGUGAACGCCUCAUGAAAUGGCUUACACCCACAUACCCAGUAAAUUACACACUUUGAUGUUCUGCUCCUUCUCCUGACGGUCACGGUAACGAUGUCUGCGCCUCCGUUUCUGUGGAUGUCCAGCGUGAGACACAACUUGAAUCCAACCAGACUGAACACUGACUCCAGGGACGGACGAGCCUGAAGGACACAGCUGUGAUGACCAUGUUCUGUCUCUUAUGACAAAGCAGAAAUAUAAAACACUGGGUUCUUAUCUAAAGUGUAUCAAAUCAGAUCUCCACCAUGUUGCUGCUGAGGACAUCAGGGACGGACGAGCCUGAAGGACACAGCUGUGAUGACCAAUUGACCAUGUUUUGUCUCUUAUGGCAAAGCAGAAAUAUUAAACACUGGGUUCUUAUCUAAAGUGUAUCAAAUCAGAAAGCAAAAGAUACACAUUGUUGUAAUAAGUUUCUAUUAUUUUAACCAACCAUAAUAAAGAUAGAAAUGAAUUGUUAUCCAUGACAAUGAGCAAUGACUGUUACCACUAAACAGUUGCAGGCCAUCUUAUUUAAGGGAGGAAUUUAGAAGUGUUGUGUAGCUUCUGAUGAUGAUGCAGUCGUCCACGUGUUGACCACCAUGUUGCUGCUGACGACGUCAGGUGCUGCAGUUCCUCAUCUAUAAAGAGAAGAAACGCACUGUUAAAGAAUGUUUUGAGUUGUGUAUGAAGCACAACAGAUUUCAGAUAGAACCGUUGUACUGUGGUCUGGGUUUGUAUCCUAAUGGUUAAAUGCACAUAUUUUAAGUCGCUUUUGAUAAAAGUACUGAAAGAAAUACAACAUUGUAAAAAUAGAUAAAAUGUCUUUCUACCUCAUCUGUAAUAUUCAAGGUGAUAAUCUCCCACAGAGCUAUUGAUAACAGUCCACAUCAAGUCUCUCCACUUCCCUCGGUUUGAAAACAUAAUUAUAUAAUUAAUUUGAGAACUGUUUACAACACUGAUGUGUGGAGAUUAUAAUCAUAUCUAAACUGUCAUAUUCACUUUAAAACUCCAUGACAGGCUAAAUAAACGCGGUGGGAAUAGUAAUGGUGGAUAUACCAGCCUUCAACAGAAUAAUGGUGAAACAUAGUUACUAUCACAUGCAACUUACACGUGUAGCAUAUUGAUAUUAACUUAUUAUAAUAAAACAUAAAGUCUCAACCAAACAUACGACCCUGCAGCUAACUUGCUUCAAUCUGUUCAUUAGACGUGUUAAAUAAACGGUAACUUUUAUAACAGUUUUAUAUUAAAAAAGCCUUGCGGCAUGUAAGCAUAUGAUGAUAGAUAAAGCAAUAGGUUUUGUUGUAGUAUAGUUUCAAGGUUACUUACCUCUAGUUCAUAGAGCCUCCUGCUGGCUACAGUAAGUGAAGCGAUAGUCCUUGCCGCAGUGCCCAAACGCAUGCAACGCAGAGACGAGCGCUUCUCAUUGAACGUUCUCUCUUCACCGACCGCAACAGACUUGA